AUUGAACGCUGGCGGCAGGCUUAACACAUGCAAGUCGAGCGGGGGAAGGUAGCUUGCUACCGGACCUAGCGGCGGACGGGUGAGUAAUGCUUAGGAAUCUGCCUAUUAGUGGGGGACAACAUCUCGAAAGGGCUGCUAAUACCGCAUACGUCCUACGGGAGACAGCAGGGGAUCUUCGGACCUUGCGCUAAUAGAUGAGCCUAAGUCGGAUUAGCUAGUUGGUGGGGUAAAGGCCUACCAAGGCGACGAUCUGUAGCGGGUCUGAGAGGAUGAUCCGCCACACUGGGACUGAGACACGGCCCAGACUCCUACGGGGGGCAGCAGUGGGGAAUAUUGGACAAUGGGGGGAACCCUGAUCCAGCCAUGCCGCGUGUGUGAAGAAGGCCUUAUGGUUGUAAAGCACUUUAAGCGAGGAGGAGGCUACUCUAGUUAAUACCUAGGGAUAGUGGACGUUACUCACAGAAUAAGCACCGGCUAACUCUGUGCCAGCAGCCGCGGUAA
Molecule: ribosomal RNA, 501 nt
Filed under: uncultured bacterium
Lineage: Bacteria
Description: partial 16S ribosomal RNA
Rfam family: Bacterial small subunit ribosomal RNA
Source: RNAcentral